AAGUCGUAACAAGGUUUCCGUAGGUGAACCUGCGGAAGGAUCAUUAACGAGUUAGGGUCCCUCGUGGCCCGACCUCCCAACCCUUUGUCUACUUAACCACUGUUGCUUCGGCGUCAGCCUGUUUCUUACUAUUUAAGCAAAUCGAAAGGUUUGUUUAGACACUGUAUUUUUGCUGAAGGCAAACUCUUGCUUAGUGCUCUCCUUUCAUUGAGUGCUAUUGCAAGAACUAUUUUACCUAUUUCACCCCCUUUUUGCUAGUUGACUUUAAUAUGUUGUUCUUUACGCUUGCGUAAGGUUCACACGUUUAAUUAAUUGAACGUUAAAAAUACAACUCUUAGCAAUGGAUAUCUUGGUUCUC
This 358-nucleotide unclassified non-coding RNA is filed under the name fungal sp. Its description in RNAcentral is "partial internal transcribed spacer region". The stretch from base 1 to 46 matches the Rfam family "Eukaryotic small subunit ribosomal RNA", at positions 1786 to 1831 of the family's 1831-position model. Lineage: Eukaryota; Fungi. The record is from RNAcentral.